GUAGUCUCGCACAGAUGCAUAUCAAUAAGCGGAGGAAAAGAAACUAACAAGGAUUCCCUUAGUAACGGCGAGUGAAGCGGGAAGAGCUCAAAUUUGAAAUCUUCAAGGUUUUACCUUGACGAAUUGUAGUUUAAGGAAGUGUUUUCUGUUGAAGUUUUGGUAAAAGUUCUUUGGAAUAGGACAUCAUAGAGGGUGAGAAUCCCGUAUUUGACCAUUAUUUUCAGCUGUGUGAUACACUUUCAAAGAGUCGGAUUGUUUGGGAAUGCAGUCCAAAAUGGGUGGUAAAUUUCAUCUAAAGCUAAAUAUUGGCGAGAGACCGAUAGCGAACAAGUACCGUGAGGGAAAGAUGAAAAGAACUUUGAAAAGAGAGUUAAACAGUACGUGAAAUUGUCAAAAGGGAAGCGUUUGACACCAGUGUUGUUUUCUCGAAAAUCAAUUAAAAAGAGUUUGAUUUUGUUGUGUAUUGACCUUAACAGCUUGCAUUUCAAUUUUCUUGCUUUUUUUAAUGCACUUUCGUUUAACAAGUCAACAUCAGUUUCUUUUGUUGUAAAAAGGUCAUUGGAAGGUGGCUUUCUUUUCGGAGAAAGUGUUUAUAGCCUUUGACUCCUGCAAUCGGAGAGACUGAGGUCUGCAGCGUAGAUCCUUCGGGGUUAGAUACAUUUGUGCUAAGUUAUAGCUUUUUAUAGACAACUUGUUGACUAUGAUUAGUCUUGUAGCUUACUCGCUUAUGCUAUUUUACCUACGCUUAGGAUGUUGAGCGCAUGUCUCUCCU
This 772-nucleotide ribosomal RNA is filed under the name uncultured Neocallimastigales. RNAcentral describes it as "partial large subunit ribosomal RNA". It matches the Rfam family "Eukaryotic large subunit ribosomal RNA", at positions 24 to 617 of the family's 3401-position model. Lineage: Eukaryota; Fungi; Neocallimastigomycota; Neocallimastigomycetes; Neocallimastigales. The record is from RNAcentral.